This 440-nucleotide ribosomal RNA is filed under the name uncultured bacterium. Its description in RNAcentral is "bacterial SSU rRNA". It matches the Rfam family "Bacterial small subunit ribosomal RNA", at positions 71 to 507 of the family's 1533-position model. The record is from RNAcentral.
UGGUUGCUUGCAAACUGCUGGAGACUGGCGAACGGGUGAGUAACGCGUAGACAACCUGCCUUUAGUUGGGGAUAACACUGCGAAAGUGGUGCUAAUACCGCAUAAUGCAGCGGGGCCGCAUGGUCACAGUUGUUAAAGCCUUCGGGCGACUAGAGAUGGGUCUGCGUGCUAUUAGCUAGUUGGUGCGGUAACGGCGCACCAAGGCGAUGAUAGCUAGGGGGUCUGAGAGGAUGAUCCCCCACACUGGGACUGAGACACGGCCCAGACCUCUACGGAGGGCAGCAGUGAGGAAUCUUGCGCAAUGGGCGAAAGCCUGACGCAGCCACGCCGCGUGUCGGAAGACGGCCCUAUGGGUUGUAAACGACUUUUACCAGGGAAGAACAGGGGGGUUUCGAUCUCCUAUGACGGUACCUGGUGAAUAAGCACCGGCUAACUCCGUG